RNAcentral lists this ribosomal RNA (506 nucleotides) under uncultured bacterium. RNAcentral describes it as "partial 16S ribosomal RNA". It matches the Rfam family "Bacterial small subunit ribosomal RNA", at positions 29 to 523 of the family's 1533-position model. The record is from RNAcentral.
AGUGAACGCUGGCGGUAGGCCUAACACAUGCAAGUCGAACGGCAGCGCAGGAGAGCUUGCUCUCUGGGUGGCGAGUGGCGGACGGGUGAGGAAUACAUCGGAAUCUACUCUGUCGUGGGGGAUAACGGAGGGAAACUUACGCUAAUACCGCAUACGACCUACGGGUGAAAGCAGGGGACCUUCGGGCCUUGCGCGAUUGAAUGAGCCGAUGUCGGAUUAGCUAGUUGGCGGGGUAAAGGCCCACCAAGGCGACGAUCCGUAGCUGGUCUGAGAGGAUGAUCAGCCACACUGGAACUGAGACACGGUCCAGACUCCUACGGGAGGCAGCAGUGGGGAAUAUUGGACAAUGGGCGCAAGCCUGAUCCAGCCAUACCGCGUGGGUGAAGAAGGCCUUCGGGUUGUAAAGCCCUUUUGUUGGGAAAGAAAUCCAGCUGGCUAAUACCCGGUUGGGAUGACGGUACCCAAAGAAUAAGCACCGGCUAACUUCGUGCCAGCAGCCGCGGUAA